GGUAUCCUGUCUGAAUAUGGGGGGACCAUCCUCCAAGGCUAAAUACUCCUGACUGACCGAUAGUGAACCAGUACCGUGAGGGAAAGGCGAAAAGAACCCCGGCGAGGGGAGUGAAAAAGAACCUGAAACCGUGUACGUACAAGCAGUGGGAGCCUCUUUAUGGGGUGACUGCGUACCUUUUGUAUAAUGGGUCAGCGACUUAUAUUCUGUAGCAAGGUUAACCGAAUAGGGGAGCCGAAGGGAAACCGAGUCUUAACUGGGCGUUAAGUUGCAGGGUAUAGACCCGAAACCCGGUGAUCUAGCCAUGGGCAGGUUGAAGGUUGGGUAACACUAACUGGAGGACCGAACCGACUAAUGUUGAAAAAUUAGCGGAUGACUUGUGGCUGGGGGUGAAAGGCCAAUCAAACCGGGAGAUAGCUGGUUCUCCCCGAAAGCUAUUUAGGUAGCGCCUCGUGAAUUCAUCUCCGGGGGUAGAGCACUGUUUCGGCAAGGGGGUCAUCCCGACUUACCAACCCGAUGCAAACUGCGAAUACCGGAGAAUGUUAUCACGGGAGACACACGGCGGGUGCUAACGUCCGUCGUGAAGAGGGAAACAACCCAGACCGCCAGCUAAGGUCCCAAAGUCAUGGUUAAGUGGGAAACGAUGUGGGAAGGCCCAGACAGCCAGGAUGUUGGCUUAGAAGCAGCCAUCAUUUAAAGAAAGCGUAAUAGCUCACUGGUCGAGUCGGCCUGCGCGGAAGAUGUAACGGGGCUAAACCAUGCACCGAAGCUGCGGCAGCGACACUAUGUGUUGUUGGGUAGGGGAGCGUUCUGUAAGCCUGUGAAGGUGGCCUGUGAGGGUUGCUGGAGGUAUCAGAAGUGCGAAUGCUGACAUAAGUAACGAUAAAGCGGGUGAAAAGCCCGCUCGCCGGAAGACCAAGGGUUCCUGUCCAACGUUAAUCGGGGCAGGGUGAGUCGACCCCUAAGGCGAGGCCGAAAGGCGUAGUCGAUGGGAAACAGGUUAAUAUUCCUGUACUUGGUGUUACUGCGAAGGGGGGACGGAGAAGGCUAUGUUGGCCGGGCGACGGUUGUCCCGGUUUAAGCGUGUAGGCUGGUUUUCCAGGCAAAUCCGGAAAACCAAGGCUGAGGCGUGAUGACGAGGCACUACGGUGCUGAAGCGACAAAUGCCCUGCUUCCAGGAAAAGCCUCUAAGCAUCAGGUAACAUCAAAUCGUACCCCAAACCGACACAGGUGGUCAGGUAGAGAAUACCAAGGCGCUUGAGAGAACUCGGGUGAAGGAACUAGGCAAAAUGGUGCCGUAACUUCGGGAGAAGGCACGCUGAUAUGUAGGUGAAGCGACUUGCUCGUGGAGCUGAAAUCAGUCGAAGAUACCAGCUGGCUGCAACUGUUUAUUAAAAACACAGCACUGUGCAAACACGAAAGUGGACGUAUACGGUGUGACGCCUGCCCGGUGCCGGAAGGUUAAUUGAUGGGGUUAGCGGUAACGCGAAGCUCUUGAUCGAAGCCCCGGUAAACGGCGGCCGUAACUAUAACGGUCCUAAGGUAGCGAAAUUCCUUGUCGGGUAAGUUCCGACCUGCACGAAUGGCGUAAUGAUGGCCAGGCUGUCUCCACCCGAGACUCAGUGAAAUUGAACUCGCUGUGAAGAUGCAGUGUACCCGCGGCAAGACGGAAAGACCCCGUGAACCUUUACUAUAGCUUGACACUGAACAUUGAGCCUUGAUGUGUAGGAUAGGUGGGAGGCUUUGAAGUGUGGACGCCAGUCUGCAUGGAGCCGACCUUGAAAUACCACCCUUUAAUGUUUGAUGUUCUAACGUUGGCCCGUAAUCCGGGUUGCGGACAGUGUCUGGUGGGUAGUUUGACUGGGGCGGUCUCCUCCUAAAGAGUAACGGAGGAGCACGAAGGUUGGCUAAUCCUGGUCGGACAUCAGGAGGUUAGUGCAAUGGCAUAAGCCAGCUUGACUGCGAGCGUGACGGCGCGAGCAGGUGCGAAAGCAGGUCAUAGUGAUCCGGUGGUUCUGAAUGGAAGGGCCAUCGCUCAACGGAUAAAAGGUACUCCGGGGAUAACAGGCUGAUACCGCCCAA
Molecule: ribosomal RNA, 2082 nt
Filed under: Escherichia coli 908675
Lineage: Bacteria; Pseudomonadati; Pseudomonadota; Gammaproteobacteria; Enterobacterales; Enterobacteriaceae
Description: bacterial LSU rRNA
Rfam family: Bacterial large subunit ribosomal RNA
Source: RNAcentral